GCGAAAACUCUACAAUGCUGGCAACAGCGAUAAGGGAACCUCGAGUGCCAGGUUACAAAUCUGGCUGUCGAGAUGCCUAAAAAGCAUUUCAUAGCAAGGGCCGGGCAAGACCGGUGCCAGCCGCCGCGGUAACACCGGCGGCUCGAGUGGUAACCGUUAUUAUUGGGUCUAAAGGGUCUGUAGCCGGCCGGAUAAGUCUCUUGAGAAAUCUGGCAGCUUAACUGUCAGGCUUUCAGGAGAUACUGUCUGGCUCGAGGCCGGGAGAGGUGAGAGGUACUUCAGGGUAGGGGUGAAAUCUUGUAAUCCUUGAAGGACCACCAGUGGCGAAGGCGUCUCACUAGAACGGACCUGACGGCAAGGGACGAAAGCUAGGGGCACGAACC
RNAcentral lists this ribosomal RNA (383 nucleotides) under uncultured prokaryote. Its description in RNAcentral is "bacterial SSU rRNA". It matches the Rfam family "Archaeal small subunit ribosomal RNA", at positions 341 to 725 of the family's 1478-position model. The record is from RNAcentral.